GGAUUCCCCUAGUAACUGCGAGUGAAGCGGGAAAAGCUCAAAUUUAAAAUCUGGUAGUCUUUGGCUGCCCGAGUUGUAAUCUAGAGAAGCAUUAUCCGCGCUGGACCGUGUACAAGUGUCCUGGAAUGGACUAUCAUAGAGGGUGAGAAUCCCGUCUUUGACACGGACUCCCAGGGCUUUGUGAUGUGCUCUCAAAGAGUCGAGUUGUUUGGGAAUGCAGCUCUAAAUGGGUGGUAAAUUCCAUCUAAAGCUAAAUAUUGGCGAGAGACCGAUAGCGAACAAGUACCGUGAGGGAAAGAUGAAAAGAACUUUGGAAAGAGAGUUAAACAGUACGUGAAAUUGCUGAAAGGGAAACGCUUGAAGUCAGUCGCGUUGGCUGGGAAUCAACCUUGGCUUGGCUUACUUCCCAGUUGACGGGUCAGCAUCAGUUUUGACCAGUGGAUAAAGGUUAGGGGAAUGUGGCACCUCCGGGUGUGUUAUAGCCCUUGAUCA
Molecule: ribosomal RNA, 492 nt
Filed under: Termitomyces le-testui
Lineage: Eukaryota; Fungi; Basidiomycota; Agaricomycetes; Agaricales; Lyophyllaceae
Description: eukaryotic LSU rRNA
Rfam family: Eukaryotic large subunit ribosomal RNA
Source: RNAcentral